RNAcentral lists this ribosomal RNA (410 nucleotides) under Verrucomicrobiota bacterium. RNAcentral's name for it is "Verrucomicrobia bacterium partial 16S ribosomal RNA". It matches the Rfam family "Bacterial small subunit ribosomal RNA", at positions 355 to 776 of the family's 1533-position model. Lineage: Bacteria; Pseudomonadati; Verrucomicrobiota. The record is from RNAcentral.
UGGGGAAUCUUGCACAAUGGGCGAAAGCCUGAUGCAGCGACGCCGCGUGCGGGAUGAAGGCCUUCGGGUUGUAAACCGCUUUCAGCAGGGACGAGGCCGCAAGGUGACGGUACCUGCAGAAGAAGCCCCGGCUAACUACGUGCCAGCAGCCGCGGUAAUACGUAGGGGGCAAGCGUUAUCCGGAUUCAUUGGGCGUAAAGCGCGCGUAGGCGGUCUGUUAGGUCAGGAGUCAAAUCUGGGGGCUCAACCCCUAUCCGCUCCUGAUACCGGCAGGCUUGAGUCUGGUAGGGGAAGGCGGAAUUCCAAGUGUAGCGGUGAAAUGCGCAGAUAUUUGGAAGAACACCGGUGGCGAAGGCGGCCUUCUGGGCCACGACUGACGCUGAGGCGCGAAAGCUAGGGGAGCGAACAGG